This 2000-nucleotide ribosomal RNA is filed under the name Escherichia coli. Its description in RNAcentral is "partial 23S ribosomal RNA". It matches the Rfam family "Bacterial large subunit ribosomal RNA", at positions 963 to 2925 of the family's 2925-position model. The record is from RNAcentral. Lineage: Bacteria; Pseudomonadati; Pseudomonadota; Gammaproteobacteria; Enterobacterales; Enterobacteriaceae.
CGGAGAAUGUUAUCACGGGAGACACACGGCGGGUGCUAACGUCCGUCGUGAAGAGGGAAACAACCCAGACCGCCAGCUAAGGUCCCAAAGUCAUGGUUAAGUGGGAAACGAUGUGGGAAGGCCCAGACAGCCAGGAUGUUGGCUUAGAAGCAGCCAUCAUUUAAAGAAAGCGUAAUAGCUCACUGGUCGAGUCGGCCUGCGCGGAAGAUGUAACGGGGCUAAACCAUGCACCGAAGCUGCGGCAGCGACACUGUGUGUUGUUGGGUAGGGGAGCGUUCUGUAAGCCUGCGAAGGUGUGCUGUGAGGCAUGCUGGAGGUAUCAGAAGUGCGAAUGCUGACAUAAGUAACGAUAAAGCGGGUGAAAAGCCCGCUCGCCGGAAGACCAAGGGUUCCUGUCCAACGUUAAUCGGGGCAGGGUGAGUCGACCCCUAAGGCGAGGCCGAAAGGCGUAGUCGAUGGGAAACAGGUUAAUAUUCCUGUACUUGGUGUUACUGCGAAGGGGGGACGGAGAAGGCUAUGUUGGCCGGGCGACGGUUGUCCCGGUUUAAGCGUGUAGGCUGGUUUUCCAGGCAAAUCCGGAAAAUCAAGGCUGAGGCGUGAUGACGAGGCACUACGGUGCUGAAGCAACAAAUGCCCUGCUUCCAGGAAAAGCCUCUAAGCAUCAGGUAACAUCAAAUCGUACCCCAAACCGACACAGGUGGUCAGGUAGAGAAUACCAAGGCGCUUGAGAGAACUCGGGUGAAGGAACUAGGCAAAAUGGUGCCGUAACUUCGGGAGAAGGCACGCUGAUACGUAGGUGAAGUCCCUCGCGGAUGGAGCUGAAAUCAGUCGAAGAUACCAGCUGGCUGCAACUGUUUAUUAAAAACACAGCACUGUGCAAACACGAAAGUGGACGUAUACGGUGUGACGCCUGCCCGGUGCCGGAAGGUUAAUUGAUGGGGUCAGCGCAAGCGAAGCUCUUGAUCGAAGCCCCGGUAAACGGCGGCCGUAACUAUAACGGUCCUAAGGUAGCGAAAUUCCUUGUCGGGUAAGUUCCGACCUGCACGAAUGGCGUAAUGAUGGCCAGGCUGUCUCCACCCGAGACUCAGUGAAAUUGAACUCGCUGUGAAGAUGCAGUGUACCCGCGGCAAGACGGAAAGACCCCGUGAACCUUUACUAUAGCUUGACACUGAACAUUGAGCCUUGAUGUGUAGGAUAGGUGGGAGGCUUUGAAGUGUGGACGCCAGUCUGCAUGGAGCCGACCUUGAAAUACCACCCUUUAAUGUUUGAUGUUCUAACGUUGACCCGUAAUCCGGGUUGCGGACAGUGUCUGGUGGGUAGUUUGACUGGGGCGGUCUCCUCCUAAAGAGUAACGGAGGAGCACGAAGGUUGGCUAAUCCUGGUCGGACAUCAGGAGGUUAGUGCAAUGGCAUAAGCCAGCUUGACUGCGAGCGUGACGGCGCGAGCAGGUGCGAAAGCAGGUCAUAGUGAUCCGGUGGUUCUGAAUGGAAGGGCCAUCGCUCAACGGAUAAAAGGUACUCCGGGGAUAACAGGCUGAUACCGCCCAAGAGUUCAUAUCGACGGCGGUGUUUGGCACCUCGAUGUCGGCUCAUCACAUCCUGGGGCUGAAGUAGGUCCCAAGGGUAUGGCUGUUCGCCAUUUAAAGUGGUACGCGAGCUGGGUUUAGAACGUCGUGAGACAGUUCGGUCCCUAUCUGCCGUGGGCGCUGGAGAAUUGAGGGGGGCUGCUCCUAGUACGAGAGGACCGGAGUGGACGCAUCACUGGUGUUCGGGUUGUCAUGCCAAUGGCACUGCCCGGUAGCUAAAUGCGGAAGAGAUAAGUGCUGAAAGCAUCUAAGCACGAAACUUGCCCCGAGAUGAGUUCUCCCUGACUCCUUGAGAGUCCUGAAGGAACGUUGAAGACGACGACGUUGAUAGGCCGGGUGUGUAAGCGCAGCGAUGCGUUGAGCUAACCGGUACUAAUGAACCGUGAGGCUUAACCUUACAACGCCGAAGGUGUUU